This 69-nucleotide transfer RNA is filed under the name Ictidomys tridecemlineatus (thirteen-lined ground squirrel). Its description in RNAcentral is "Spermophilus tridecemlineatus (thirteen-lined ground squirrel) tRNA". It matches the Rfam family "tRNA". Rfam says of the family: Transfer RNA (tRNA) molecules are approximately 80 nucleotides in length. The record is from Rfam by way of RNAcentral. Lineage: Eukaryota; Metazoa; Chordata; Mammalia; Rodentia; Sciuridae.
GGGGUUGUGGCUCAGUGGUAGAGCACGUGCCUCACAGGUGUGAGGCACUGGGUUCAAUUCUCAGCACCA